GGGGCGCCUAAUACAUGCAGUCGAGCGGACAGAUGGGAGCUUGCUCCCUGAUGUUAGCGGCGGACGGGUGAGUAACACGUGGGUAACCUGCCUGUAAGACUGGGAUAACUCCGGGAAACCGGGGCUAAUACCGGAUGGUUGUUUGAACCGCAUGGUUCAAACAUAAAAGGUGGCUUCGGCUACCACUUACAGAUGGACCCGCGGCGCAUUAGCUAGUUGGUGAGGUAACGGCUCACCAAGGCAACGAUGCGUAGCCGACCUGAGAGGGUGAUCGGCCACACUGGGACUGAGACACGGCCCAGACUCCUACGGGAGGCAGCAGUAGGGAAUCUUCCGCAAUGGACGAAAGUCUGACGGAGCAACGCCGCGUGAGUGAUGAAGGUUUUCGGAUCGUAAAGCUCUGUUGUUAGGGAAGAACAAGUACCGUUCGAAUAGGGCGGUACCUUGACGUACCUAACCAGAAAGCCACGGCUAACUACGUGCCAGCAGCCGCGGUAUACGUAGGUGGCAAGCGUUGUCCGGAUUAUUGGGCGUAAGGGCUCGCAGGCGGUUCUUAGUCUGAUGUGAAGCCCCGGCUCACCGGGGAGGUCAUUGAAACUGGGAACUUGAUGCAAAGAGAGAGGAAUUCCACGUGUACCGUGAAUGCGUAAAAUGUGGAGAACACAGUGGCGAGGCAACUCUCUGGUCUGUAAUGACCUGAGAGCAAAGCGUGGGAGCAACAGGAUAAAUACCUGGUAUCCACCCGUAACGAGAGUGCUAGUGUAGGGGUUUCCCCCCUUAGUGCUGCAGCUAAGCAUAAGCACUCCGCCUGGGAGUACGUCCCAAGACUGAAAUCAAGGAAUGACGGGGCCCCCAAAGCGGGGAACAGGUGGUUAAUUCGAAGCAACCGAAGAACCUACAGGUCUGACUCCUCUAACAAUCCUAGAGAUAGGACGUCCCUUCGGGGCAGAGUGACAGGUGGUGCAUGGUUGUCGUCAGCUCGUGUCGUGAGAUGUUGGGUUAAGUCCCGCAACGAGCGCAACCCUUGAUUUUAGUUGCCAGCAUUCAGUUGGGCACUCUAAGGUGACUGCCGGUGACAAACCGGAGGAAGGUGGGGAUG
This 1099-nucleotide ribosomal RNA is filed under the name Bacillus sp. (in: firmicutes). Its description in RNAcentral is "bacterial SSU rRNA". It matches the Rfam family "Bacterial small subunit ribosomal RNA", at positions 41 to 1181 of the family's 1533-position model. The record is from RNAcentral. Lineage: Bacteria; Bacillati; Bacillota; Bacilli; Caryophanales; Bacillaceae.